GAUGAACGCUGGCGGCGUGCCUAAUACAUGCAAGUCGAGCGAACAGACGAGGAUCUUGCUCCUCUGACGUUAGCGGCGGACGGGUGAGUAACACGUGGAUAACCUACCUAUAAGACUUGGAUAACUUCGGGAAACCGGAGCUAAUACCGGAUAAUAUAUUGAACCGCAUGGUUCAAUAGUGAAAGACGGUUUUGCUGUCACUUAUAGAUGGAUCCGCGCCGCAUUAGCUAGUUGGUAAGGUAACGGCUUACCAAGGCAACGAUGCGUAGCCGACCUGAGAGGGGGAUCGGCCACACGGGAACUGAGACACGGUCCAGACUCCUACGGGAGGCAGCAGUAGGGAAUCUGCCGCAAUGGGCGAAAGCCUGACGGAGCAACGCCGCGUGAGUGAUGAAGGUCUUCGGAUCGUAAAACUCUGUUAUUAGGGAAGAACAAAUGUGUAAGUAACUAUGCACGUCUUGACGGUACCUAAUCAGAAAGCCACGGCUAACUACGUG
RNAcentral lists this ribosomal RNA (497 nucleotides) under uncultured bacterium. Its description in RNAcentral is "partial 16S ribosomal RNA". It matches the Rfam family "Bacterial small subunit ribosomal RNA", at positions 28 to 507 of the family's 1533-position model. The record is from RNAcentral.